GACGAACGCUGGCGGCGUGCUUAACACAUGCAAGUCGAACGGUGAAGCGCCUUCCUUUUUGGUGGGUGUGGAUGAGUGGCGAACGGGUGAGUAACACGUGAGUAACCUGCCCCCUUCUUCUGGAUAACCGCAUGAAAGUGUGGCUAAUACGGGAUAUUCUGGGUCUGUCGCAUGAUGGGUCUGGGAAAGAUAUUGUUUCGGUGGGGGAUGGGCUCGCGGCCUAUCAGCUUGUUGGUGGGGUGAUGGCCUACCAAGGCGGUGACGGGUAGCCGGCCUGAGAGGGUGGACGGUCACACUGGGACUGAGACACGGCCCAGACUCCUACGGGAGGCAGCAGUGGGGAAUAGUGCACAAUGGGCGCAAGCCUGAUGCAGCGACGCCGCGUGAGGGAUGGAGGCCUUCGGGUUGUGAACCUCUUUCGCCAGUGAAGCAGGACUGCCUCGUGUGUGGGUGGGUUGACGGUAGCUGGAUAAGAAGCGCCGGCUAACUACGUG
This 494-nucleotide ribosomal RNA is filed under the name uncultured bacterium. Its description in RNAcentral is "partial 16S ribosomal RNA". It matches the Rfam family "Bacterial small subunit ribosomal RNA", at positions 28 to 507 of the family's 1533-position model. The record is from RNAcentral.